AUUGAACCUAAACCGACGGUUCAGAAACCGUAACUAGCGGUUCCUAAAUCAUGGCCACCCCCACGCGUAUCAUAUGAGUUGAUUACUACAUUAUGAUUUCAGGUCCCCUACUUUAUCUUCUAAAGGAAAAUAUACAAGAUACCGAUGGGUAUGUGUACACGUACACACAUGCAUGCAAGGGGCAAUACAGUUUCAAUGCUUGUAAAGAUAACUACAAUGCAAAGAAGUACAAUAUUAAUGACUAUACCUUAAUCCCAAAUUAAUCUGAGUCGACUAUACGAAU
Molecule: unclassified non-coding RNA, 283 nt
Filed under: Hevea brasiliensis (rubber tree)
Lineage: Eukaryota; Viridiplantae; Streptophyta; Magnoliopsida; Malpighiales; Euphorbiaceae
Source: RNAcentral